AAAAGAAUGUAUUUUGGCUUAAACAAGUUUUUGUUUUGAAAUUCUAAUAGGGACAAAUAUUCUAUUAUUUACUAUAGUAAUUAAACUAUUUUUAAGACAUUUCAGCCAGUGGUCUUCUUCAGUUUUUUUAGUUAUCAGUUACCACAUGGUGGACAUAUUAUACUUACAAAGAAUCUAAACAUGUGACAUCUUAAUGAUUGUGAAAGUUAAAUUUCUACAUAUGGAUUUAGAAUAUUAUUGUCGAGCCUGUGACUUUAGUUGCAGAAAGCUCGACAUAGGGAUAGUGAUUCGGCGGCGGCGGUGUUAGCUCACUUUUUAAAAGCUUUAUAUUUUAGAAGGUAAAAGACCUGGAUGCUUCAUACUUUGUAUAUGGAGGCCUCAUGACACGAAGUUUCCGUCAGUCACAUGUCCAAUGUCCUUGACCUCAUUUUCAUGGUUCAGUGACUACUUGAAAAAAAAAGUUAAAAUUUUUUGUAAUGUUAAGUACAUCUUAUUAUAAGUAUUAGGAUAACUAUAUUUGGUAUGUGCGUACCUUGCAAGGUC
This 543-nucleotide long non-coding RNA is filed under the name Mytilus galloprovincialis (Mediterranean mussel). The record is from RNAcentral. Lineage: Eukaryota; Metazoa; Mollusca; Bivalvia; Mytilida; Mytilidae.